Molecule: non-coding RNA, 2322 nt
Organism: Sus scrofa (pig)
Lineage: Eukaryota; Metazoa; Chordata; Mammalia; Artiodactyla; Suidae
Source: RefSeq, a predicted model, not a curated record
CUCUCCGGGGAGGAAGGGCGGGGCCCAGGUGGAGCCGUGGGGACGGGCCAGGAGUGGGCGGGGCAGAGCCAGAGGGGGCGGGGCGGGGCCUACUCGAGAGGGGACGGGUCUUGCCCGCGGGCUCCGCGGCGGAUCCAGCCCCGACCGCGCAGAGCCCAGGCCUGACCCGCACUCUGUCUUGCGUUGGACUCGUCCUGGGCUCAGCGGGUCGGCGUCCUCACUGACUGCUGCACAGACGUGCAGGAAAAUCUUCCCGAGUGGAGAUGCGCCGUCCGGCAAAGCACAGCGCUUUUAGUCGGUGCCGAAAACACUCAGAGCAGCCGCCGCCAUCGUACGGGAUGGCUAGAUUUUCCCAAAUCCUGCUGGUCCCGGCAGCCCGGAAACUGCGGGAAGCCUUGAAUGCAGCUAGUCGUGAGAAUGGCAAAGAUACUGGGAAAAGCUCGAGAAAGGACAGUUACCUGGACUGAGUUAAGGGGUUGUCACGUAUGUUGGUCGCUUCUCCCUUAUUGAUGAGCACUGUUCUGCUGUGUGGACGCACCACUGUUUAUCCCUUCACACGUGUUGAUAUUCUUUGGGACUGUUUUCACUUUGGGGAUAUUGCAGCGAAGCUGCUGUGAACUCAUGUGCGAGUCAGUCUCUAUGCACACAUGCUUCCAUUUCUUGUAGUUAAAUGUCUAGGAGUAGUAUGGCUGUAUCCUUUAUAACUUUUUAAGAACCUGACAAGCUGUUUCCACAGUGACUGUACCUUGUAAUUGUAUCCAUCAGCCGCACAAGAGCUUUUUCUGGCACCGCUACAUCCUCAUCAAACAGCAAGGACCAUAUCAACUAUUGGGUGUAGUCAGUCUUUUUCACUUUAGCCAAUCUAAGGGGUACCUCAGUGUGGCUUAAUUUGCAUUUCCUUAAUUAUUAAUGAGCUUCAAUUCAUCAUUCACACCGUAUACAAAAGCGAACUCAGAAUGGUUCAUAGACCUAAACAUACAACCUAAAACUGUAAAACUUCUAGAGGAAAACAUAGGGGGAAACCUCUGUGACUUUUAAUUAGACAAAGAUUUCAUAAUAAAACACCAGAAGCCGUUAACAACAAGGACCUACUGUGUAACACAGGGAACUAUAUUCAAUAACGGAAAAGAAUCUUAAAAAGAAUAGGUAGGUAUAUAUAACACCUGAAACUCACACAACAUUGUAAAUCAACUAUGCUUCAAUUAAACAACAACAGUAAAACACCGACACCAAAAGCAGGAUCCAUAAAAGAGUAAACCGAUGACCGGGUCUGACGAUGACGCCCACACAUCACCUCCAAUAUCCUCUAAUGCUUUGUCCCCUCAGAAGACAAAAUGCCGUUUUUAAAACAGAGGGUUUCUCUGUAAACAAUCUUGAAGAACUGUCUGGGGAAACCAAGGCAGAGGCGAACACCUGUUGCGGCACCGUGGCCGCUCACGCCCGCCCAGCACAAGUGCAGGUGUGCUCCUGCCUGCGGCUCCAGGGCAGCCGGGGAAGCCACGUGACCCGCAGACACGCCUCAGGCCCUGCACGCCCCCUAACAUCAGCUGCCCCUCAGACACCGCCCCGCAGCCCCCAGAUGGCAUCCUCUCCUUUACCCCGAAGACUGUUCUCCUCAAGCCCUAACCCCGCCCGAGCCCAAGUUCAGCAGGUGACCCUCCUUCUGGCUUUGCCAGGCAAACGGGGGGCAGGCUCAGUUUCCCCACCGCUUUGUCCCUCCAGCAAGCCCCUUCCCUCUUCUCCCCCUCCCUCAUCGAGAGGCGCCCCCUCCUCUGCUUGGAGGUUGGUCCCUCCCCUGUGCCCUGACCCCCUCCACGUCCUCGGGAACCAACUCCAUCAACCAUGGUGACGCCUCCAAAAACUCCGCCUUGGACUCUGAGCUGUGCCGCCCAGAUCCCCUUCCGGAAGGGACUGGUUGUCCCAGCUGAUGGAAAUGCCAUUUGCAGGCGCCGUGACCGCCUUCAGAGUCUGCGCAGCCUUCCAAGGCCCCCCCCCCACCCAGUGGCGGAUGGAGGCAGCUGGGUGAAGGCCCGGCCCUCUCAGCCCGAGGCAGGCCAAUUGUGAUGGGCUGUUUUGGCUCAGCAGAAACCAAACUGACUGGUUUGGUGGGUCCCAGGUGCCCACGGGCUCAGCAAGGGUCUAACAGAGGGCACCACAAGGGUACCAGUCACCUCACCUCAGAAGCCAGGGCUGGGUGUGGUCAGGAGGCUGAGUGCCGUCACCCCAAUAACAUCUUGCUCAACUUCAAUUGCCUGGAACCCCAUAACUAAACACAUGGCCGGCUCCCCUGCAGCACACGGCCGCCCAGUCAGCACCUCCUAA